This 734-nucleotide small RNA is filed under the name Arabidopsis thaliana (thale cress). RNAcentral describes it as "ATSL209320". Lineage: Eukaryota; Viridiplantae; Streptophyta; Magnoliopsida; Brassicales; Brassicaceae. The record is from RNAcentral.
CAAAAUGUUUUAAAAAGAUUUACAAGAGUUUUUAAAGGGUUUUCUUAUAAUUUCUUUUAAAAUCUUUAAAAACUCUUGUACAUCUUUUAAAACCCUUUAAAAAUUCCUUGUAAAUCUUUUAAAACACUUUCAAACCCAUUAAAAAUCUUAAAAAAACUCUUGUAAGUCUUUUAAAACCCUUUAAAAUCCCUUGUAAAUCUUUAAAAACCCUUUUAAAAUCUCUUAUAAAUCUUUUAAACCCUUUUAAAAUCUCUUGUAAAUCUUUUAAAAUCCCUUGUAAAUCUUUUAAAAUCCCUUGUAAAUCUAUCUCCCGCCAAAAAAAAAAUUUUACGGGAAAAUUGUUUUUUGGCGGGAAAAUUUUUUUCGGAAUUUUUUGGCGGGGAAAAUGUUUUUGAAAAAACAUUUUGGCGGGAAUUUUCUUUUUCGAAAAUUUUUGGCGGAAAAAUUUUGGCGGGAAAUUUUAUUUUGAAAUAUUUUAGGCGAAAAAUAUUAAUAUUUCAUUUUGUUAACCUAAAUCAAUUUACAAAUAGGGGUAAAAUGGUCAUUGAAAUUUUUAAUAGGGUAUAAAUGAAAAUGGUAGAAUUGAAAAGGGGUAGUGUGAAAAGGGCAUUAGAAAGAAUUUUUCUAUUCGAAAAAUAACGGGUUUGAUUGGUGACUAAAAUGAAAGCUACUAGUCAAAAGAGUGUUGCUAAAAGCUAUACAAAUAAAAUCAAUAAAAAUAACUAUGUAAUAUU